This 1224-nucleotide ribosomal RNA is filed under the name Staphylococcus aureus. RNAcentral's name for it is "bacterial SSU rRNA". It matches the Rfam family "Bacterial small subunit ribosomal RNA", at positions 93 to 1302 of the family's 1533-position model. The record is from RNAcentral. Lineage: Bacteria; Bacillati; Bacillota; Bacilli; Caryophanales; Staphylococcaceae.
UAGCGGCGGACGGGUGAGUAACACGUGGAUAUAACCUACCUAUAAGACUGGGAUAACUUCGGGAAACCGGAGCUAAUACCGGAUAAUAUUUUGAACCGCAUGGUUCAAAAGUGAAAGACGGUCUUGCUGUCACUUAUAGAUGGAUCCGCGCUGCAUGCUAGUUGGUUAAGGUAACGGCUUACCAAGCGCAACGAUGCAUAGCCGACCUGAGAGGGUGAUCGGCCACACUGGAACUGAGACACGGUCCAGACUCCCAGGGAGGCAUGCAGUAGGGAAUCUUCCGCAAUGGGCGAAAGCCUGACGGAGAACGCCGCGUGAGUGAUGAAUGGUCUUCGGAUCGUAAAACUCUGUUAUUAGGGAAGAACAUAUGUGUAAUAACUGUGCACAUCUUGACGGUAACCUAAUCAGAAAGCCACGGCUAACUACGUGCAGCAGCCGCGGUAAGUAGGUGGCAAGACCGUUAUCCGGAAUUAUGAUGGGCGUAAAGCGCGCGUAGGCGGUUUUUUAAGUCUGAUGUAGCCCACGGCUCAACCGUGGAGGAGGUCAUUUGGAAACUGGAAAACUUGAGUGCAGAAGAGGAAAGUGGAAUUCCAUGUGUAGCGGUGAAAUGCGCAGAGAUAUGGAGGAACACCAGUGGCGAAGGCGACUUUCUGGUCUGUAACUGACGCUGAUGUGCGAAAGCGUGGGGAUCAAACAGGAUUAGAUACCCUGGUAGUCCACGCCGUAAAAUGAGUGCUAAGUGUUAGGGGGACUUUCCGCGCCUUAGUGCUGCAGCUAACGCAUUAAGCACUCCGCCUGGGGAGUACGACCGCAAGGUUGAAACUCAAAGGAAUUGACGGGGACCCGCACAAGCGGGGAGCAUGUGGUUAAUUCGAAGCAACGCGAAGAACCUUACCAUUAAUCUUGACAUCCUUUGACAACUCUAGAGAUAGAGCCUUCCCCUUCGGGGGACAAAGUGACAGGUGGUGCAUGGUUGUCGUCAGCUCGUGUCGUGAGAUGUUGGGUUAAGUCCCGCAACGAGCGCAACCCUUAAGCUUAGUUGCCAUCAUUAAGUUGGGCACUCUAAGUUGACUGCCGGUGCAACCGGAGGAAGGUGGGGAUGACGUCAAAAGUCAUCAUGCCCCUUAUGAUUUGGGCUACACACGUGCUACAAUGGACAUUUAAAAGGGUAGCGAAACCGCGAGGUCAAGCAAAUCCCAUAAAGUUGUUCUAGUCCAGUUCGGA